Molecule: long non-coding RNA, 248 nt
Organism: Zea mays
Lineage: Eukaryota; Viridiplantae; Streptophyta; Magnoliopsida; Poales; Poaceae
Exons: 3
Source: RefSeq, a predicted model, not a curated record
GUUUCGUGAAGCCCAGUGGACAACACGCCGUCGACGCCCGCCGUGUGCUCGCUGUUUUGCGCAGCCCAUCCGCGACGCCAUCGAAAACCGUGCUAGUGGUCGACGUCGUGCCUUGCCCGUUCGACGAAAUACCGAGCCAUGUGGACAGCCAUGCGUCUAGUCACGACCCAUUCAGGACCGAGAGAUGGUGAUCAUGCACGUGAUAUGGUGCCAACCACAGGAUGCCGUUGGUGGACGACCCAAGGAAG